Non-coding RNA from Caretta caretta (loggerhead turtle), 1707 nucleotides. The record is from RefSeq and is a predicted model, not a curated record. NCBI's taxonomy places the organism in Eukaryota, Metazoa, Chordata, Testudines, Cheloniidae.
UGCCAUUUCUCCAGAAGAGCUGACCUGAGAGACACUAUCCACCUGCAUCUUCCUUGAAUUUAAUUUUUAUUACUAUUUUUACACAAAAUGAAAUUUAUAGGUCUCUACUGAAAUUCUGGGCCAGUUUUCAGGAAGAUGAACAGCAGGAGCCCAGCUGAUGGAGUUCAAAGCAUACAUUGUCGGAAGGGACUUACAGGUGGAAGAGAGAGAGUUGGGAGAGUUUACAGAAAGGCUGUCUGAAUAAGAUGACAUUGUCCUGAGUGUUACUAUAUGACAACUUCAUACUGCUUGGCAGUUCCAGAGCUGUGGCAAAUCCAAGAAUAAAGCCUGUUAAUCUACCUCAUUUCAAGCUGCAAGCAAGUGACAAGCGAAAAGAGAUCAUAAAGUGCAAGAAGGAUGAACUAGCUGGAGUGGAGAGGUCAGAUCUUGCACAUAUUUGGAACUUCUAAUCCUCUCAUGUGGAAGAUUGAUGAAAAUCUGGUGGCUGAAAAUGAUCAGUUAGCUAUUUAAGGAACUUUUCAAAGUCUGAAAACCUGACUGACUAAGGAACGGGUAUUAGUUUGCAUAAUGCAGAUUACAUAAAUGUCAAAGUUAAGGGCCCGAGGGAGUUGGCAAACUACUUCGAAUUUAAAAAAAAAAGUCACACAAUAUGUCUAACUUCAACUUCAGUAACAGCUUCUUACACAAUAGCAGUAAAAUACCUUUUGAUUACGUUAUUAAAAUAAGUGACCCCCCUUUUUGUUUUUUAACCACAAGUGAGUAUUUAUUAAGAAAAGUUGCAUGUUUUGCUUUACAUGUAUUUAUAUGCUGAAAGUUCAAUUAAGAUAAUUUCCUUAACAAAAUGCAGACAGUAAUCAGAGGGAUAGUCAUUCCAGACCACAUUGAAAAAAUAAGAACUGCUAAAAUCUAAGUAUCAAUUUUAUAACAGCUCACAAGUCCCUUGAGAGGCCUCUUCAAAGUUUAUUUGGUUUUGCUGUGUCAAAGGGAAAAAAAGAGGGAAAAAGUACGUGGUGAUAUGAAAACGCACACACUUGGGAUGUACUAAGGAGGAUGGUUUGCUGCCAACAGGUAAGAAGAGCUAUGGGAAACCAUUCUCCUCACCAGAAUAACUGACAAACAAAAAUAAUAAAAUAAAUAACACUUCUUCAGGCUCACAGUACAAAAGCCAACAGAUUUUUUCUAUCAUCUAACUUAUUUUUAAAGUGAAAGGUAGAUUAUGCAGGUAGAGAGCUGUAAUUUUCACACCAAAAUACCCUCUACACAAAACAGCUUGGCAGUUGUUUGUUUUAAACUGUUUAACGAUGCAUAGCCUCAAGACAUAGUAUAGCGAGGAUGCAAUGGAUUGGUAACAAAAUAUGGCUUUAUUAAAGUCCAAAUACAAAAAAUAACACUUAUACAACAGCAUUAAUAGCACAUAUUAUACUUAAAUGUGUGUAAUUUGAGGUCAGCAUAUUACUUCCCUCUCACAGGUUAGUAUCCAGAAUUUGUCAGCCUGGAUAUGGUGGGCUGUUUGCUUCAUUCGCACGAGUAGAAGCAUUCCUGAUUGGCUUCCUGUCAAGGUUCCUCCCCCACUCUGAACUCUAGGGUACAGAUGUGGGGACCUGCAUGAAAAAAACCUCCUAAGCUUAUCUUUACCAGCUUAGGUCAAAACUUCCCCAAGGUACAAAAUAUUCCCCCCCGUUGUCCUUGGACUGGCCGCUACCACCA